GCAGCGGGGUGGCCGCCUCGAGCCCCCACCUGCCGGGGGGGCACCAAGCAGAGAGUGGGCUGCAGCUGGAAAACAGGGCAGGGGGAGAAGGGCCCCGCGACAGAGCAGCUCCACGGGGCUGGAAAAGCAGAUUUGAGAUGCUGCGUGGAGCUACGAGUCUUGAGGUUUUGGGUUUGCUUUGUGUUUUAAUUUUUUUUUUUUUUUUUUUUUUUAUUUUUUUUUUUUUUUCAGCUGCCCGCCUCAGAAGGAGCUGGGCUGCCCGGGGCCAGCGGCCACCCCGGAGCGCCAGCAGGGCCAGCCACGAGGACUCGCUGCUUGGCUUUUGGCACGCUGCGUGGCCAGAUCCUCAGCAAAUCAACCCAAAACCUGCCGCGCCCCCCCCUGCCCCAGCCUCGCCAGGUGAAACUCCUGCACCGAACCCUCCCCAGCUCCUGCCCGCUGGGCUCUGCUCCCCUGGGGACCUCCAGGUCGGAAUUUGGGGGGGAUUUUUUUUUUUUUAAGACACAAUUUGAUGGAGAGCAGACCCCGUCCCCUUUGGCAGCGCCGGCACAGCGCAGCACCUGCAUAGACGCCCCGAGGGGAAGGCAAGGGGCUGGGGGGGGAGGAGGGGAUCCAAAAGGUGCUGGGGGGGAGCGGGGAGAAGGGCUGGGCAGGGCAGCCCCCAGUCCCAGCUCCCCCCUGCCGCAGGCAGUGACCGCGUU
RNAcentral lists this long non-coding RNA (701 nucleotides) under Anas platyrhynchos platyrhynchos (common mallard). RNAcentral's name for it is "lncRNA (ENSAPLG00000019148.1)". The record is from RNAcentral. Lineage: Eukaryota; Metazoa; Chordata; Aves; Anseriformes; Anatidae.